CCUACGGGAGGCAGCAGUGGGGAAUAUUGGACAAUGGGGGGAACCCUGAUCCAGCCAUGCCGCGUGUGUGAAGAAGGCCCUCGGGUUGUAAAGCACUUUCAGUGAGGAAGAACGCCUGGUGGUUAAUACCCAUCAGGAAAGACAUCACUCACAGAAGAAGCACCGGCUAACUCCGUGCCAGCAGCCGCGGUAAUACGGAGGGUGUGAGCGUUAAUCGGAAUUACUGGGCGUAAAGCGCGCGUAGGUGGCUUGAUAAGCCGGUUGUGAAAGCCCCGGGCUCAACCUGGGAACGGCAUCCGGAACUGUCAAGCUAGAGUGCAGGAGAGGAAGGUAGAAUUCCCGGUGUAGCGGUGAAAUGCGUAGAGAUCGGGAGGAAUACCAGUGGCGAAGGCGGCCUUCUGGACUGACACUGACACUGAGGUGCGAAAGCGUGGGUAGCAAACAGGAUUAGAUACCCCAGUAGUC
RNAcentral lists this ribosomal RNA (465 nucleotides) under Vreelandella stevensii. RNAcentral describes it as "partial 16S ribosomal RNA". It matches the Rfam family "Bacterial small subunit ribosomal RNA", at positions 338 to 795 of the family's 1533-position model. Lineage: Bacteria; Pseudomonadati; Pseudomonadota; Gammaproteobacteria; Oceanospirillales; Halomonadaceae. The record is from RNAcentral.